AACUCAUAUAGGCCACACAACAAUGUGAAACAACAAAAUUUACAAACAAAGCACCAAAUCAUAAUUAUUAGGUCUCAUAACUUGGUAGGAAUGCAAAAACAUACACCGAAUAGAAAGUAGGAAACAUAAACAGUUUUUGUGGGAAAAUUAAAAAAAAAAAAGAAGAAGCCAAGUAACAUUUCAAACAAAUUGCCCCUAAAGUCGGACAAUAGGGUAAGUUGUCCUAAUAUUAAACUUAGUAGCCUUCUGGCUUGUAGGCAAUGAAACUGAUGCACUGCACUUGACGCACGUUGUCGAAUCCAAUAAUACGGAUCCAGGCUUGUGGGUAUGCCUUCUUCGCCUCUUCCACCUCGGCCAACACUUGGGUGGCAUCAGUGCAUCCGAACAUAGGCAACUUCCACAUGGUCCAGUAUCUGCAUCAAAAAGAGGAUUCAGGAUUUAAAAUUUAAGGUUUUGUUCUUUCAAGACAUGAACGUUGUACUACUUUUUAAGAUUUGCACACACAUAUCCAUGAUUUAACUAAAUAAUUGUCGAUCUAGUACUGACCUGCCGUCAUAGUAUCCUGGUGACUUGUGGUGUUCACGGUAGACAAAUCCGUGCUGCAACAUGUGAAAUAAUAUAUUAAAGUUAAAAGUUAAUUUUUUUCUAAAUGUAUAAAUAUGUCAGUCUUUUUUUUAGGAACAAAUAGAAGGAAAAAAAAAUGUCGCAUAAAAUUGAAGGAGUAUGCAAAAUUUAGAACAAAUAUUGACCUCAGUCUCGAAUUCCAAGCAAGGAACCCAUCCAUUUUUCAAGAGGUACUCAAUUUCGCUAAGCAAUUGCUCCACGCUCAGAUCAGGAAGGUAUGAGAGAGUCUCGUACUUCUUCUUGUUAAUUGGUGGCCACACCUAUACUCCACCAAAUAGAAUUUUUAGCUGUGACAUCUUAAGAUUCAUUAAUUGUAUCAAAAUUCUUUGCAUUGUGAGUGUAUAUAAGUUACCUGCAUGCAUUGCACUCUUCCGCCGUUGCUGGCAAUGGAAGUGAUGUCAAGGUUUUGCUUCCUUGAAACAGGGAACGAGGCAGCUGACUUAAGACCAGUGAAAGGUGCAACCAUGUUAGCUUGAGCAACAUUGCUGCGGGUGGCAACUGCUGCUGAGGAAAGAACUGAGGAAGCCAUUGUUAAUUACACUUAAGACAGAAAGAUUUCUCUUUCUCUCUUUUCCUUUUUUUUCCUUUAAAC
Molecule: long non-coding RNA, 1216 nt
Filed under: Nicotiana benthamiana
Lineage: Eukaryota; Viridiplantae; Streptophyta; Magnoliopsida; Solanales; Solanaceae
Description: long non-coding RNA (NBEN_LNC030043)
Source: RNAcentral